UAAUAAUGAUGGAGACUUUGAAGACGAAUCUCCUCCACUAGAUUCUGCGAGAAGCUCUUUCUCUCUUGCUCUCAAAGAAUGCCAGGAUCGGAGAUCCAUAUCUGAAGCGCUAUCGAAGAAGCUAGAUAGAAGAAGACUAGCUUCGUUGGAUCUAAACAAUGCUACAACCGCCGCCGCCGCGUCAUCGCCGCGAUUGGCAUCGAUGAAAAAGGCCUCGACGAUUUCGUCUCGGAAAUCCGGCGGUACGUUUCCGAGUCCCGGUACGCCGAAUUAUCGGCACGCGAGUGUAGGGAUGCAAAAAGGUUGGAGCUCAGAGCGAGUACCAUCGCACUCGAACGGUGGUGGUGGUGGUGGCGGUGGUAACCGUAGACAACUAGCUACUAGUACUUCGUUGUUUUGGUUCGUUUUGAGUUUGAGUUUCCAUUCUUUGCUUUGGCUUUCUCUGAUUUCUGGCUUUGGUUUUUAUUUUUUUUAUUUUUUAAAUAAUUUCUGGGUUUGUGUUCU
This is a long non-coding RNA of Quercus robur (English oak), 504 nucleotides long. RefSeq lists it as uncharacterized. The transcript is spliced from 2 exons. The record is from RefSeq and is a predicted model, not a curated record. Lineage: Eukaryota; Viridiplantae; Streptophyta; Magnoliopsida; Fagales; Fagaceae.